Molecule: ribosomal RNA, 328 nt
Filed under: uncultured Streptococcus sp.
Lineage: Bacteria; Bacillati; Bacillota; Bacilli; Lactobacillales; Streptococcaceae
Description: bacterial SSU rRNA
Rfam family: Bacterial small subunit ribosomal RNA
Source: RNAcentral
GUCAGCUCGUGUCGUGAGAUGUUGGUUAAGUACCCGCAACGAGCGCAACCCCUAUUGUUAGUUGCCAUCAUUCAGUUGGGCACUCUAGCGAGACUGCCGGGUAAUAAACCGGAGGAAGGUGGGGAUGACGUCAAAUCAUCAUGCCCCUUAUGACCUGGGCUACACACGUGCUACAAUGGUUGGUACAACGAGUUGCGAGUCGGUGACGGCGAGCUAAUCUCUUAAAGCCAAUCUCAGUUCGGAUUGUAGGCUGCAACUCGCCUACAUGAAGUCGGAAUCGCUAGUAAUCGCGGAUCAGCACGCCGCGGUGAAUACGUUCCCGGGCCUU